This 445-nucleotide ribosomal RNA is filed under the name uncultured bacterium. Its description in RNAcentral is "SSU rRNA". It matches the Rfam family "Bacterial small subunit ribosomal RNA", at positions 26 to 518 of the family's 1533-position model. The record is from RNAcentral.
AGAACGAACGCUGGCGGCAGGCUUAACACAUGCAAGUCGAGCGCCCCGCAAGGGGAGCGGCAGACGGGUGAGUAACGCGUGGGAACAUACCCUCCGGUUCGGAAUAGCUCAGGGAAACUUGGAUUAAUACCGGAUACGGCCUAGCGGCGAAAGAUUCAUCGCCGGAGGAUUGGCCCGCGUUCGAUUAGCUAGUUGGUGAGGUAACGGCUCACCAAGGCGACGAUCGAUAGCUGGUCUGAGAGGAUGAUCAGCCACAUUGGGACUGAGACACGGCCCAAACUCCUACGGGAGGCAGCAGUGGGGAAUAUUGGACAAUGGGCGCAAGCCUGAUCCAGCCAUGCCGCGUGAGUGAUGACGGCCUUAGGGUUGUAAAGCUCUUUCGCGUAGGGACGAUAAUGACGGUACCUAGACAAGAAGCCCCGGCUAACUUCGUGCCAGCAGCCGC